CAAUAGCGUAUAUUAAAGUUGUUGCAGUUAAAAAGCUCGUAGUUGGAUUUCUGGUUGAAGCGACCGGUCGGGCGUUGAUUCGUCUGCACUGGAGUCGGUUUUGGCCAUCCUCUAGGAAAGUGCGUCUGGUAUUAAGUUAUCGGGCGUAUGAUCCUGGUCUUUUACUGUGAAAAAAUUAGAGUGCUUAAAGCAGGCCUUCGCCUUGAAUACAUUAGCAUGGAAUAAUAAGAUAGGACUUUGGUCUAUUUUGUUGGUUUGCAGACCGAAGUAAUGAUUAAUAGGGAUAGUUGGGGGUAUUUAUAUUCCGAUGUCAGAGGUGAAAUUCUUAGAUUUUCGGAAGAUAAACUUAUGCGAAAGCAUUUACCAAGGAUGUUUUCAUUAA
This 382-nucleotide ribosomal RNA is filed under the name uncultured eukaryote. RNAcentral describes it as "partial 18S ribosomal RNA". It matches the Rfam family "Eukaryotic small subunit ribosomal RNA", at positions 592 to 976 of the family's 1831-position model. The record is from RNAcentral.